GACGAACGCUGGCGGCGUGCCUAAUACAUGCAAGUAGAACGCUGAAGGAGGAGCUUGCUUCUCUGGAUGAGUUGCGAACGGGUGAGUAACGCGUAGGUAACCUGCCUGGUAGCGGGGGAUAACUAUUGGAAACGAUAGCUAAUACCGCAUAAGAGUAGAUGUUGCAUGACAUUUGCUUAAAAGGUGCAAUUGCAUCACUACCAGAUGGACCUGCGUUGUAUUAGCUAGUUGGUGGGGUAACGGCUUACCAAGGCGACGAUACAUAGCCGACCUGAGAGGGUGGUCGGCCACACUGGGACUGAGACACGGCCCAGACUCCUACGGGAGGCAGCAGUAGGGAAUCUUCGGCAAUGGACGGAAGUCUGACCGAGCAACGCCGAGUGAGUGAAGAAGGUUUUCGGAUCGUAAAGCUCUGUUGUAAGAGAAGAACGAGUGUGAGAGUGGAAAGUUCACACUGUGACGGUAUCUUACCAGAAAGGGACGGCUAACUACGUG
RNAcentral lists this ribosomal RNA (495 nucleotides) under uncultured bacterium. Its description in RNAcentral is "partial 16S ribosomal RNA". It matches the Rfam family "Bacterial small subunit ribosomal RNA", at positions 28 to 507 of the family's 1533-position model. The record is from RNAcentral.